RNAcentral lists this long non-coding RNA (395 nucleotides) under Homo sapiens (human). RNAcentral's name for it is "HSALNT0302457". Lineage: Eukaryota; Metazoa; Chordata; Mammalia; Primates; Hominidae. The record is from RNAcentral.
GAGGAUUUGAGGCCUGCUGACAGCCUUGACUGAGAUUUCAGCCAACACCCAAUAUCAAUUUUGCUAACCGGCCUUAACUUUCUCUAGGAAUGAUCUUACAUCCAUGGAUGUGACUGUCUGAGCAAGUGGAAGAAGCCAUGGUAUAACACAGAUUAAAUUAUCUCAGUGAUGAUGGUAAUCAUUUCCAAAAGAAGGUAGUGGUCCUCUUCCCUGAACUGUAAGAACUGUGAUUUCAUGCACUCCAAGUUGAGAACCCCUGCAGGAUCCUGAGUUGACUAAAUCCUAAUCAGUACGGCAGUCAAAGAUUCCGUAGUGCCUGGCCAUUGUAUGGAAAGAUCAGUCUUCUCAAGGUUAUUAAAAUCUCCCAUAAUAUAUUCACUGUGUACUUACAUGAA